This 691-nucleotide ribosomal RNA is filed under the name Flavobacterium psychrolimnae. RNAcentral describes it as "bacterial SSU rRNA". It matches the Rfam family "Bacterial small subunit ribosomal RNA", at positions 60 to 752 of the family's 1533-position model. Lineage: Bacteria; Pseudomonadati; Bacteroidota; Flavobacteriia; Flavobacteriales; Flavobacteriaceae. The record is from RNAcentral.
AGUCGAGGGGUAUAGUUCUUCGGAAUUAGAGACCGGCGCACGGGUGCGUAACGCGUAUGCAAUCUACCUUUCACAGAGGGAUAGCCCAGAGAAAUUUGGAUUAAUACCUCAUAGUAUAUAGAGUUGGCAUCAACAUUAUAUUAAAGUCACAACGGUGAAAGAUGAGCAUGCGUCCCAUUAGCUAGUUGGUAAGGUAACGGCUUACCAAGGCGACGAUGGGUAGGGGUCCUGAGAGGGAGAUCCCCCACACUGGUACUGAGACACGGACCAGACUCCUACGGGAGGCAGCAGUGAGGAAUAUUGGACAAUGGGCGCAAGCCUGAUCCAGCCAUGCCGCGUGCAGGAUGACGGUCCUAUGGAUUGUAAACUGCUUUUAUACGAGAAGAAACAACUCUACGUGUAGAGUCUUGACGGUAUCGUAAGAAUAAGGAUCGGCUAACUCCGUGCCAGCAGCCGCGGUAAUACGGAGGAUCCAAGCGUUAUCCGGAAUCAUUGGGUUUAAAGGGUCCGUAGGCGGUCAGAUAAGUCAGUGGUGAAAGCCCAUCGCUCAACGGUGGAACGGCCAUUGAUACUGUCUGACUUGAAUUAUUAGGAAGUAACUAGAAUAUGUAGUGUAGCGGUGAAAUGCUUAGAGAUUACAUGGAAUACCAAUUGCGAAGGCAGGUUACUACUAAUGGAUUGACGCUGAUGG